GGAUGAACGCUGGCGGCGUGCCUAAUACAUGCAAGUCGAGCGAACGGACGAGAAGCUUGCUUCUCUGAUGUUAGCGGCGGACGGGUGAGUAACACGUGGAUAACCUACCUAUAAGACUGGGAUAACUUCGGGAAACCGGAGCUAAUACCGGAUGAUAUUUUGAACCGCAUGGUUCAAAAGUGAAAGACGGUCUUGCUGUCACUUAUAGAUGGAUCCGCGCUGCAUUAGCUAGUUGGUAAGGUAACGGCUUACCAAGGCAACGAUGCAUAGCCGACCUGGGAGGGUGAUCGGCCACACUGGAACUGAGACACGGUCCAGACUCCUACGGGAGGCAGCAGUAGGGAAUCUUCCGCAAUGGGCGAAAGCCUGACGGAGCAACGCCGCGUGAGUGAUGAAGGUCUUCGGAUCGUAAAACUCUGUUAUUAGGGAAGAACAUAUGUGUAAGUAACUGUGCACAUCUUGACGGUACCUAAUCAGAAAGCCACGGCUAACUACGUG
RNAcentral lists this ribosomal RNA (498 nucleotides) under uncultured bacterium. RNAcentral's name for it is "partial 16S ribosomal RNA". It matches the Rfam family "Bacterial small subunit ribosomal RNA", at positions 27 to 507 of the family's 1533-position model. The record is from RNAcentral.